This 447-nucleotide ribosomal RNA is filed under the name uncultured bacterium. Its description in RNAcentral is "bacterial SSU rRNA". It matches the Rfam family "Bacterial small subunit ribosomal RNA", at positions 355 to 825 of the family's 1533-position model. The record is from RNAcentral.
UGGGGAAUAUUGGGCAAUGGGCGAAAGCCUGACCCAGCAACGCCGCGUGAAGGAUGAAGUAUUUCGGUAUGUAAACUUCGAAAGAAUAGGAAGAAUAAAUGACGGCACUAUUUAUAAGCUCCGGCUAACUACGUGCCAGCAGCCGCGGUAAUACGUAGGGAGCAAGCGUUGUUCGGAUUUACUGGGCGUAAAGGGCGCGUAGGCGGCGCGGUAAGUCACUUGUGAAAUCUCUGAGCUUAACUCAGAACGGCCAAGUGAUACUGCAGUGCUAGAGUGCAGAAGGGGCAAUCGGAAUUCUUGGUGUAGCGGUGAAAUGCGUAGAUAUCAAGAGGAACACCUGAGGUGAAGACGGGUUGCUGGGCUGACACUGACGCUGAGGCGCGAAAGCUAGGGGAGCAAACGGGAUUAGAUACCCGCGUAGUCCCUGAGCGGGCUGGCAAGGCGCAU